Molecule: ribosomal RNA, 254 nt
Filed under: uncultured bacterium
Lineage: Bacteria
Description: partial 16S ribosomal RNA
Rfam family: Bacterial small subunit ribosomal RNA
Source: RNAcentral
UACGUAGGGUGCGAGCGUUGUCCGGAAUUAUUGGGCGUAAAGAGCUCGUAGGCGGUCUGUCGCGUCGGUCGUGAAAACUUGGGGCUUAACCCUGAGCUUGCGGUCAAUACGGGCAUGACUGGAGUUCGGCAGGGGAGACUGGAAUUCCUGGUGUAGCGGUGAAAUGCGCAGAUAUCAGGAGGAACACCGGUGGCGAAGGCGGGUCUCUGGGCCGAUACUGACGCUGAGGAGCGAAAGCGUGGGGAGCAAACAGG